GACGAACGCUGGCGGCGCGCUUAAUACAUGCAAGUCGAACGAGAAGCCAGAGCUUGCUCUGGUGGAAAGUGGCGAACGGGUGAGUAACACGUGAGAAACCUGCCCCAAAGAUUGGGAUAAGCCUUGGAAACGAGGUCUAAUACCAAAUACCUUCCUUUUAACACAUGUUAAAAAGAAGAAAUGCUCCGGCGCUUUGGGAUGGUCUCGCGAUCUAUCAGCUUGUUGGUGAGGUAACGGCUCACCAAGGCAUCGACGGAUAGCUGGUCUGAGAGGAUGUCCAGCCACAUUGGAACUGAGACACGGUCCAAACUCCUACGGGAGGCAGCAGUAGGGAAUCUUGCACAAUGAGGGAAACCUUGAUGCAGCGACGCCGCGUGCGGGACGAAGGACCCGUACGGGUUAGGUUAAACCGGACCUUUCUAGUAGGGACGGAAAGUAGACGGUACCGUACAGAAGAAGA
Molecule: ribosomal RNA, 460 nt
Filed under: uncultured bacterium
Lineage: Bacteria
Description: bacterial SSU rRNA
Rfam family: Bacterial small subunit ribosomal RNA
Source: RNAcentral